AUGGCCAUGGCUGGUCCAGCUUGCAGAUUUCUCUCGUUUUUUUUGUGUUUUGUAGCAUGUCUUAUCGUUAUGGAGUCUGCUUUGUAUGCCCAUUCAUGGUGCACUCCACAUCCCAACCCGAGGGGAGAAGCGGCGUUUAAGCAGAAGACACAUAAGUUUUGGGAGUACCAGGAGCAGAGCAAUACCUGGGUGGAAAUAAGCAUGCCUUUCAAUCUCAUGUCCUGCAUCAACGGCACCUGCACAAAGGUAGGCUCAAUCAAGCAACCACAAAGCAAACAUGGCCGUGCUUCCAUCUCGAGUCAAGAGAAGGAUACUGAUCCCCUCCUGCCCAUAAGGAAAAGAAUCUCCUUGGCAAGGAUGUCAGAGUCGUCCGUGUGGGUGACAGGCCAAAGUGGAUCAAUCUAUGAGAGGUUCUGGAACGGGGUCAUGUGGGUGAUUGCUCCUCAUGAGCUUCCAACAGCGGCUGGGUAUGCAACAGCAACUUUCAUCGUCAACACAACCAUCCUUGCUCUCUCCGAGGCUGGAAUCCUCUACCAGCUACAGCUAAAUGAACAUGCCCAGCCUAUCUGGACUGAGAUGACAUUCAGCUAUGAACAACAUUUCACAGACCUUGGAGAGAAGACACAAAGUCAAGCUACACACAUAAAAAAUGGGGUCGUAUCACAUAAUGGAAGGAAACUUUUCCUGUCUAUCACGAAUGGGUCCCUAGUUGAGGUCACAGAACUUCAGCCUCUAAGGUGGAAUUGCCAUGGGCGUCCUCCAGGAGCAGAUGUAUCAUAUAUAUCUGCUGCUGAAAAUGCAAGACCAGGGACCGUGUUCACAGUAAGUUCUACUGGAGACCUAUAUGAAUUUGAUAAGGAAACGAAGCCAUCAUGGAAAAAGCAUAUAUGGAGUGAACAAACAACCAAGAAUGUCUCGCUGAGCUCAUCUGUUGGGUGUGCUUUGCAUGGUCUCUUAGGCUCUAAUUCAGUAUCACUCUUUCUGAUAACCAAGGAUGGUCUUUUAGUGGAGCGGCGCUUGCAUAGAAGAAAGUGGAAGUGGGAUAAACAUGGAUCACCUAAGGGUCAAAGACUAAGUUCAAUUACAGAAGUUCAACAGGAUGAAUCUAAUGAUGUGACUUCAAUGUUUUUUACAACAACCACAGGAAAAGUAUUUGAGUAUCAGUUUCCAAAAUAUACAGGUGGGGCUUCAAGCAAUAAGAUUAGAGGACUAUGGGUAAAUCACAUGUCUCCUGACCAUGCAAAAGUAGCAGUAAGUGUUCGAGGUCUACAGAUUCAAGUUGGCAGAUUGAUAUUCCAGCUAGAUGAUGGUAGGCUUGGAGAGCUACAUUUACCUGGCAUGGGAGGUGAUCAUUUUGGUCCAAGUCAACAAAAUAACAUAAGAAGGAAAGUGCCAAACAAGUAUGAGUGGUCUAUCCUAGAUACACCAGAAACAGAAGGUUGGAAUGCAGAAUAUUGCACUGAAGAGCAUGGCCCUACAAACUGUAUUACUGGAGCGAUGAAUGUAGCUGCAGAUACGGAACCAACCAACCUGAGCAAUGCCCCACCUAGAAGGCGUAAAGCAGAAGAGAAGCAACACUACCUGCAUGGUCAGAGUCAUGAGAGUGAUGAAACUGAAUCAUACAACAUUCUAUCACGAAGCAUUUAUCUUAACUUCCAUAUGCGGGUGAUGCAUGCAGAUAGAUCACUUUUCCUCAUAACAGAUAACGGGUUAACUUUGGAAUAUCUAAAGAGCAAUGGUGUUUGGCUAUGGCUAAGACAUGAACACAUCACAGGCAUGAAGGGUACACUAGGAAGCUAUAAUGGCAGCUUGUAUCUUGUCGAUCUUCAUGGGAACUUACAUAUUAGAGAAAGAAAUGGUGACGAACUCUUAUGGAUUAAUUGCACAGCAAUGCGGAAGGGAAGACAGGUUGCAAGUGGGCCUCCAUGGGAUGGCAUCCCUGGGUUAUCACGCAGAGUGACAACAGAUGAUGCACUUUUCUUUGUUAACAAGAGAGGCAGAUUGCUACAAUUCACGGUGGCAUUGCGUAAAUUCAAGUGGAAGGACUGCCACAGCCCUCCGGAUACCAAGGUUGCAUUCAUCGUGGAUCAGGAGGUGUUUAGAAGAAAUAUCAUCUUCGUGGUUGGCCGGAACGGUUGGAUGUACCAGUAUAACAGAAUUACAGAGCUAUGGCACAGGCACUACCAAUCACCUCACCUCGUCCUGUCAAGAUCCCCUGGGACAGCGAUGCGACCGUCCCCUCUCUCCCUCACCGGUUCCAUCUUCAUGAUUUCCGAGCAUGGGGGCCUCGUGGAGUACCAUUUCAGCCCGCAGGACGGGUGGGAGUGGGUAGAGCACGGGACGCCCCACCGGGACGUGACCCUCGUGGUCGCCCCAGGGCCGUGCUUCGACGGCACCCAGCUGUUCGUCAUCGGGUCCGACGGACACGUCUACCUGCGGCACCUGGACGAGCGAACGUGGAGGUGGACGAGCCACGGGCACCCGUCGGAACCAUCCAGCACGACGACGGACGUUGCCGGUGGCGGCGAGCAGAGCUGCGCCACGCUGGGCGCCGCGGACGCGCACUACGCGAGCAGCUUCAGGGGGAGCUGCGACGAAAAGGUGGCGGCUGUGCGGCCGGUGCCGUUCUCCGAGGACGCGGUGGUCUUCGAACUGCGCGACGGCCGGUUGGCGGAGCUGCGGCGUGCGGCGGAGGGUCGCGGCGGGUGGGAGUGGGCGCGGAUCAUCGGCACGCCCGCCAGCGCCUGCAUGACAAGCUACUGGACGGCCGUCGCCACGUAG
This 2781-nucleotide ribosomal RNA is filed under the name Triticum aestivum (bread wheat). Its description in RNAcentral is "partial small subunit ribosomal RNA". Lineage: Eukaryota; Viridiplantae; Streptophyta; Magnoliopsida; Poales; Poaceae. The record is from RNAcentral.